UGGGGAAUAUUGGACAAUGGGCGAAAGCCUGAUCCAGCAAUACCGCGUGUGUGAAGAAGGCCUUCGGGUUGUAAAGCACUUUAAGUUGGGAAGAAAAGGCUUCACCUAAUACGUGAAGCCUUGACGGUACCGACAGAAUAAGCACCGGCUAACUCUGUGCCAGCAGCCGCGGUAAUACAGAGGGUGCUAGCGUUAAUCGGAUUUACUGGGCGUAAAGCGUGCGUAGGUGGUUUGAUAAGUCGAUUGUGAAAGCCCCGGGCUUAACCUGGGAAUUGCGGUCGAUACUGUCAGACUCGAAAACGGUGGAGGGAGGUGGAACUCCAGGUGUAGCGGUGAAAUGCGUAGAUAUCUGGAAGAACACCGAUGGCGAAGGCAGCCUCCUGGGCCUGUUUUGACACUGAGGCACGAAAGCGUGGGUAGCAAACAGGAUUAGAUACCCUGGUAGUCCACGCCGUAAACGAUGAGAACUUGACGUUGGUUUGCUUAGCAAAUCGGUGUCGUAGCUAACGCGAUAAGUUCUCCGCCUGGGGAGUACGGCCGCAAGGUUG
This 548-nucleotide ribosomal RNA is filed under the name uncultured bacterium. Its description in RNAcentral is "bacterial SSU rRNA". It matches the Rfam family "Bacterial small subunit ribosomal RNA", at positions 355 to 896 of the family's 1533-position model. The record is from RNAcentral.